This 526-nucleotide unclassified non-coding RNA is filed under the name Hevea brasiliensis (rubber tree). Lineage: Eukaryota; Viridiplantae; Streptophyta; Magnoliopsida; Malpighiales; Euphorbiaceae. The record is from RNAcentral.
GCCUGUUCGUAAAUCUGUCUUCAAUAUUUUAAUCAUGAAUGUAGCAAACAACAAUUCAUAUGAACACGGAUGAAUUCUAGAUUCUCUAAGAAGGUUUAACAUCUGGAUUGCUCUUGUAAAGCUUAUUGUAUUCCUCGAGUUCUUCAUAAUACAUGUCCCACACGCAUCUAACACAUCCACUCCCGCAACAAUCGUCCGGCAACGGCUUCUCCGGCGGCGGUGGUAUGGUAACCUUUGAUUCUUCCUGUUUCUUCUCCGAUUCCGUUUUGUUAUUCGUCGUUGACUCAACGGUGAUCUUGUUAUCCAUCGUUGACUCUACGGUGCUUUUGAGAUUCGUUUCCUCGGCCAUCGGACCUUUGAGUGCAGCGAAAUUACGGCUUGAUAGAAUUCUAGGGUGACAGAAUCGGAUCAGAUUGGCAGUAUAGAUUCGUCCAAAAGUCAGAUCUGUUAUAGGCAUGAGAAAAGCGGAGGCGCGUUGGACAUUUUCCGGUGGCCGAUAGGAAAGAUUGGUUCUCAAUGGCGUCGU